UUAUGAACGUGGGAUGGUGAACUCGCUGUCCUCUCCCGUUUCUUCAAAGUUAUUCGACUCUAUGAAACGCUUUUACAUCCUUUCAUUAUGAGAUUUGUGUUGAGCGGCUCUUUUGCAAAGUUGCAAAGAGUUUUCCUGAACGAUUCCAGGAAGAAUUCGCUGGUAAAGCGAGAGAAACUGCUUGACUCAAAAGCCGGCCACGGCAGUCAGAGCAAAGGCGAUUGAUGCCCCUCUACAUCAGUCGAACGACUAAUUGCAACUCAUACCUAGGACGUCCACCCUUUACUCUAUCACGCAGUACCUCAAAUACAAGGGCCAACUAAGAGCUACUCUUCCAUAUGAAUACAACCAAGAACCGCAACAUAUUCUGCCACAGGAUAGUGAAAGUUGACAAACUGAGUCGUUUGUAUGAUCAUGAAAAUAUAAUAUUGUUUAAAAAUA
This is a long non-coding RNA of Nematostella vectensis (starlet sea anemone), 441 nucleotides long. RefSeq lists it as uncharacterized. The record is from RefSeq and is a predicted model, not a curated record. The transcript is spliced from 2 exons. Lineage: Eukaryota; Metazoa; Cnidaria; Anthozoa; Actiniaria; Edwardsiidae.